UCAAGAAUGUCUCGAGAUCCC
Molecule: non-coding RNA, 21 nt
Filed under: Arabidopsis thaliana (thale cress)
Lineage: Eukaryota; Viridiplantae; Streptophyta; Magnoliopsida; Brassicales; Brassicaceae
Source: RNAcentral